This 253-nucleotide ribosomal RNA is filed under the name uncultured bacterium. RNAcentral describes it as "partial 16S ribosomal RNA". It matches the Rfam family "Bacterial small subunit ribosomal RNA", at positions 524 to 776 of the family's 1533-position model. The record is from RNAcentral.
UACGGAGGGUGCAAACGUUGCUCGGAAUUAUUGGGCGUAAAGAGCGUGUAGGCGGUCCGGUAAGUCAGCUGUGAAAGUCAAGGGCUCAACCCUUGAAUGCCGGUUGAUACUGUCGGGCUAGAGUCCGGAAGAGGCGAGUGGAAUUCCCGGUGUAGCGGUGAAAUGCGCAGAUAUCGGGAGGAACACCAAUGGCGAAGGCAGCUCGCUGGGACGGUACUGACGCUGAGACGCGAAAGCGUGGGGAGCAAACAGG